UACGUAGGGUGCGAGCGUUAAUCGGAAUUACUGGGCGUAAAGCGUGCGCAGGCGGUUCGUUAAGUCAGCUGUGAAAGCCCCGGGCUCAACCUGGGAAUGGCGGUUGAAACUGGCGAACUUGAAUCUGGCAGAGGGGGGUGGAAUUCCACGUGUAGCAGUGAAAUGCGUAGAGAUGUGGAGGAACACCGAUGGCGAAGGCAGCCCUCUGGGCUGAGAUUGACGCUCAGGCACGAAAGCGUGGGGAGCAAACAGG
This 253-nucleotide ribosomal RNA is filed under the name uncultured bacterium. RNAcentral describes it as "partial 16S ribosomal RNA". It matches the Rfam family "Bacterial small subunit ribosomal RNA", at positions 524 to 776 of the family's 1533-position model. The record is from RNAcentral.